Molecule: long non-coding RNA, 1644 nt
Organism: Venturia canescens
Lineage: Eukaryota; Metazoa; Arthropoda; Insecta; Hymenoptera; Ichneumonidae
Exons: 3
Source: RefSeq, a predicted model, not a curated record
UGACCGCGUGUUCGCGAUUUUAUAGCACAUAUACACAAGCGCGUAACACACGUUAACGGCUUUAUACGAGCGUACACACCGCCAUAGAGAAACGGCGGAUAUACACGUAUAUUGUUAAGUCCCGAUCUCUCGACUUCUCGACUAGUUAGCCGGCAAUGGUGUACUGGCUCGUGUUCGUGCCUUGGGCAUUGUAAUAUACAUAAACUCGUCGAGAGAUAAGCCGUUUGUGCAGGCGCGGCCAAGAGGACCAAACUCUUCCCCCACUCCCGUUCCCGCCGCCGCCACAUCGGCAAUUCGGUACCAAAGACGUGUAGCUAUGUAUACCUGGCGGGAGUGCGCUUCGUGUCCGUAUAACCUCUUAUAUACAUAUAUCCUCGAUAACUUCUGGCUGCUUCGUCAUUUCCUCACGAUUGGAAAACACAUUAAGGAUCACGACACCUACCUCCGAACCCACCUCUCCCGCAAUGGCGCUCAUUUAUAAGAAUACGAAAUGGUCGUCCCCCCAGCAGCAGGUACAAAUCCCAAAAUACGUUUCUCGCUCCUGCGCUCCAUGGCUAAUUGUUCACGAGAUUAUAUAUUUUCGACGAAUAAGAGAUAAACGAAGAAAACAGCUUUGAAUGUCAUCCUGCUGACAUCCGAUUAGCAAUUUUUUCAAUUUCCAACGCGAUUUCAAGGCGAGAGUUCUGGCGAAAUUCACGUCAAUGACGAAAGAGAGCGCGGUAGAGCGAGGAUCUACGAAUAAAAUAAAUCGAUGUUGAAACGUUCAUUUGACUCAUUUUAACAACCAAAUAGUGAAAAAAAAAAAACGGUCAAACGACAAAUGCCGGUCGCCGGACAAGUGAAUCACUCGAAAAUUUCAGGCUUAUUUUAUAUCCAAUGUGAUCGCGAGUGAACGCAAUAAGUCGGCACAAAUUUGGGUCAGACACAUUACGCACAUAUUGAAUAAAAUAAUAAUAAUAGCAAUAAUAGUGAGAAUAAUAAUAAAGAUAUACGAUUAUGUGCAGCCGAGGAUUGCAUAGACUGCACCAAUACGUUUUGAGGCUAUUAAAUAAAACUGGGUUACACACAUUAGCAUCGGCGGAUUUAUUUAGUUCCAUCGCGGAAAAUUCCCAGGAAAGACCAACACGAAAUUGGCUCUCUUCGAUUCUCGAUAAUAACGAAAGGUGAUUACGUCAUCCGAUAACAUGGAAAUGCAGAAUAAAUCGAGCGAGACUGCUGGGAUUCCCUGGGAGAAGAAAAAACGUAUGUUCCAACGGAUUUCGAGGAGGGGCGAUAAUCAACGGGCUUUUUGAGACACUCCGACGUUUUUUCUCACCCUUGAAACCAAGAGAAUAUUAGAACGGAGAAUCGCGUCGCCAGCAUCUGCCUUUCGAGUUCAAUAAUCCACGAAAGAUAUCGGUCGGUGCGAUGAUGGAGCGUGAAUGGAGAAAAAAGGAAAGCGCCGCAUCAUCGUGGACUGCUUCCCUCAGCCGCUCAUUUUUCUUCGAAUGAGAGAACUCGUUCGAUUCUAUCAUUAUCGGAAAUAUUGGAUCGGGGAAAUAGCUGUCAGAAUGAUUAAGAAAAACGAGUUUCUCGCGGAUGAUGAGAAGCCCGGGAGCUCUGUAAUUGAGAAUAAAAAGAGAGAAACUCGAUUGUGAAAUUGAA